AAAUAGAACUUUGCAGAGAGAGUUAACAGGGCGUGAAACCGUUAAUUGAGAAACGAAUCGGAGCCACGAAGUCGUUUCGUGUUUAGUUGGGUCAAGUUCAGCCUGUGAGCUAAAACUCAUGGGUGUAUUCUUGGUUCGGCCAAACUUGUAAGCGUACACUGCAACCAGUUAGACGAUUGGCCAUGGGCCCAGUUGGAUUGUGAGGUAACUUGCAGUCCAGCAAAGCAUCUGUUUGCUUGAAUCAGUAGUAGCAUGGUACAUUUCGGUGUAUUUGUGUUGCUUGGUUCAGGUAAGUGAACUAUGGCCAAAUACUGACUGGCAAAAUGAAAAUCGCAUCUUGCGUUUUAAAGAAUGCAGCUAGCCGCAUAGAUGUCUACAUAUUCGACUAGUUGGUGUGAGCUCAGCAUUUUUGAAUUUAGACUUGCUUGCUACCAGUGGGGCAACUCCUGGUGCUUGUAUAGCUUCUAUCUAAUCGGGUGUUGACUUCGCUAGCUAUCGUUCGGGUAUGAAUCGUUCGGAUGUUUAUGUGAGUUGGUUUGCAAUUAUUGGCAGUGAGUAGGUCGGCUUUCCGAACGACCCGUCUUGAAACACGGACCAAGGAGUCUAAUUAAGUAUCGAGUCGAUCGGUCUUGAAUAGGCCAGAUAGGUGCAAGCAAUUGUGCCGACUGAAGGCGUAGAGAAAUCAAAUCGUGUGAUCAUGCAAGCAAUAUCAGCUUACAUGCGCAACAUGUGCCUGUUCGUAUAGCAAUGUCAGCAAUGACUUGCUGAGCGGAGCAAAGAGAUACUUGAUUGGUACC
RNAcentral lists this ribosomal RNA (797 nucleotides) under Shevtchenkella ulmi. RNAcentral describes it as "partial 28S ribosomal RNA". It matches the Rfam family "Eukaryotic large subunit ribosomal RNA", at positions 366 to 816 of the family's 3401-position model. Lineage: Eukaryota; Metazoa; Arthropoda; Arachnida; Trombidiformes; Eriophyidae. The record is from RNAcentral.